RNAcentral lists this transfer-messenger RNA (345 nucleotides) under Oscillospiraceae bacterium. It matches the Rfam family "transfer-messenger RNA". From Rfam's summary of the family: Bacterial tmRNA, also known as 10Sa RNA or SsrA, is named for its dual tRNA and mRNA-like properties. Lineage: Bacteria; Bacillati; Bacillota; Clostridia; Eubacteriales; Oscillospiraceae. RNAcentral also lists the same sequence under 1 other name. The record is from RNAcentral.
GGGGGCGUAAAGGUUUCGACAGGGACCGUGAAGUACGGGAAGCGAGCGGUGGCGUGGGACCACCUUAAAACUCACAAUUUUAAAAUUAAACGACAACAAUAAAGUUGCUCUUGCUGCCUAAUUAGGCAGCCGUCCGAACUGAGAGUACCGCGGCUCAGCCAGGGCGUCGAUUAGCGGUGAACAUGAACGGAAGGUCGCUCAUCCUUCCGUCACGACUUUGAGCUACCAAUGAUAUUAGAGCGACAUUUCUCGAAUAACUGCGGGAAAUCAAACAAAUGUCUGCGCUCGGAGAUGCCUGUAUGAAUCGAUCUUUGGACAGGGGUUCGACUCCCCUCGCCUCCACCA